UACGUAGGGUGCGAGCGUUAAUCGGAAUUACUGGGCGUAAAGCGUGCGCAGGCGGUUCGUUGUGUCGGCGGUGAAAGCCCCGGGCUUAACCUGGGAAUGGCCGUCGAAACUGGCGAACUGGAGUGUGGCAGAGGGGGGUGGAAUUCCGCGUGUAGCAGUGAAAUGCGUGGAGAUGCGGAGGAACACCGAUGGCGAAGGCAGCCCCCUGGGCUGACACUGACGCUCAGGCACGAAAGCGUGGGGAGCAAACAGG
RNAcentral lists this ribosomal RNA (253 nucleotides) under uncultured bacterium. Its description in RNAcentral is "partial 16S ribosomal RNA". It matches the Rfam family "Bacterial small subunit ribosomal RNA", at positions 524 to 776 of the family's 1533-position model. The record is from RNAcentral.